AUUUAUUUCACUCCUCUCCACAGCAAUAUAUGCCGCAGAUGACCGUUUGCGUCGUGUGAAGAUACUGUGGCUUCUAUCACAAGGCAGUAUUAUGUCUCGGAGGUGUGGAUGGUGGUUUAUCUUCUCCAGAGGUUUGUCUGGUGAAAUUGCAUGUGAUGUUUAGCAGUAGAGCCAUUUCGCUGUUCGGCAGCUGCCGCGAUGGAAAGUGCAAACGCAGAGCAACAGCGACCUCGUUGGCGCCGGUGGAGGAGGAGGACUCUGCGGGUUUCCCGUAGGCUGCUCUGCUGCUCAUGUUGGCGCGGUGAGGAGAGGGAUCCUCUGCAGCAGCAGGAAAGGAAGAUCAAUGGGGGCUCUCGGCAUCCACACUUGGAUCAGCGGGGAUCAGGUGAGAGGGAGGCUAUCCAGAUUACGGUAGAGGACCUGGGGAUAGUUAACACCGGCUUCAGCCUGUGCGAGGAGGACACCCCGACCUCGGGCAACAGCACGGCCCGCUCAGCUAGCUCCGUGUCCGCCUGCCUGAGGGCUCUGAAAAAGAAACGACUGGGGCCUCUGUUUUCACUCCCUAUGGACAUGCAGGGAAAACUGGCCAUCACUUCUACCAGUGGAGAAGGUGGUGAUGAAGAGGACGACGACCCGCUGGUGUUUGAGAGUGGCACUGAUGUCACGCCAGCUCCUGGAAGCCUCCUAUCACCGCCCGUCAUUAAUCUGAUCCCACCCACUCCAUCCGAUGUCGUUGACGACGAUCAGUUCUUUGACGUUAAUUUGGAAGACAUUGUGGCAAACGAUGCUGUCAGCGGUGGAAGCUCUGGUGCUGGUGACCACGAGCGCUACGAGGAAUCGAUGAAGGGUGCCGAGGCAAAGGUGUCAACCGUGGAAUUUCCACCGGCAGAGAGUAAGGUCAGUGCUGAUGAUUCAGCUGGGCUUGAAGAGGCCCCACGUGACGGGUCUGGAGAAGAAGAAGAGGCAGAGACAACCAAAGAUGGGGACGAGGAGAAAACAAAGCCAAGGCUCUUACGUUGUGCGUACCAGGUGGCUCCUCUCCCUAAGUACACUCAGAAAAAUGAACUGAGCAACACAGAUGUGAACUGCUCCGACAUGCCGAAAGCUGAACUCUGCCUGCUUCCUGCCAACAUGGACACAUUUACUCACCAAAGGAGGCUCAUAACGCGCUCCUGCAGUCUUGAAGACACACCGACCAGGAGCGCCACUUUCCACGCUUUGACCCAGACCACAGACCACCAGGAAGAUGAGAGGUCGCUCCAACAGCGCCGCAUAACCGUUGCAUCAUAUAUGCCUCAGUCUCAGGAUCAGAAUGGAAACUUCCCUGAGAAGGACGUCGACAGGCAAGUGGCCAAAUGUCUUGGGGAACUGAGCACAGAUGAAGUCUGCCGCUGGUUUACCAAUAUCGGACUGCAGAAAUGUCUUCCUUUCAUCCGAGAUGUAAACCUGUGUGGAGCAGACGUAGCAUCGGUGGAUGUGAACACUCUGGACGUCCUGCACAUCACCACCCUGGAGGAGAGGGAGAAGCUGCUGUCUGCCGUUUAUAAGGAGCUGCACCCUUCCAGCCCAAUCACCCAGAGACUCGACUCUCUGCUCGAUUCGUUGGGCCCGAACAGUGUGGAGACAUUCACCGCGACAUUAGUGUCAAUGAGCAAAUCUAAGUCCUCUCCACAUGUGAGCUGCCUGAGCAUGAAUCGGCGUUCCCUAAAGCGCAGAAACACCAGCCAAACCCCCUUGGCACAGAGGAAUUCUCAGCUGAUCGAGAUAGCAAUUAAUGCAUCAGAGCGGAUAGUUCAUCUCCGAACCCCAAAGGAAACAACGGUGGGGAAAAUCAUGGAUUCAUGCAUCAAAAUGUUGGGAAUGACAGAAGACAGGAGCCUUUUCAUACUGAGAGAAAAGCAAGGUUCAUCGGAAGACCUCCCCCCAGAUCAGCUGAUCGCCAGCCUACUGACAUCGACAUCAGAGGACAGGCAGUUGGAGCUGCACUUGUGUAAAACGGACGGGUCAUCUGGAACCAUAGCAAAACAAAAUCCAGGAGUCCACAGCUCUAAUGAGAAUAACAACAUCAACAAAAAUGCCCUGGUGAACCGGCCAGCCAAAGAAGAGAGGAUCAAAGAACUAAACCAGCAGGUGGAAUCGCUCCAAAAUGUCAUCCUUCAGGUCCAGGAGCUCCACCACGGCCUGGUGGCAUUUUGCUCAGAGAUAAAGAACAUGGAUGGAGACGUGGAUGUGGACAGGCUUAGCUCCGCUGAGCUGAAGGAGAGGUCGCAGUUGGUUAAAAGCCGCCUGAAUGACAAGAGGCGGAGCCUGCAGACCCUCAGAGACAACAUUAACGACUCCACUGCUCACAAAAAGAAACAGUUGGACGUACGUCUCUUGGAAAAGAUGAAACUGAACUGCCAGGUGUUUAAGGAGGAAAUUUCCAUGGUACAUCUCAAUCGGCAGAUGGCACACCUCCAAAAUGCUUUGCAAGAAAGCUACGUUAAGGUACUGCAGAAAACCGCUGGACCAUGGAAUCGCUUUCCCCUCUGCAGACUUGAACCAACAAGCUGACGAUCUGGAGCCUUGCCAAUGCAACUUGAAUCAAUAGCCUAUGAAACUCAGUGGCAUCAAUAUGUGGGAAAGCUGUGUGAUCACAGUCAAAGAAUGCUUUGGUUGAUAAAAAUAAACAAUACGAAACUGAGAUUAGGAACUGAAAUGACGCUAGCUAUUGAUAGUAUGCAUGGUAUCAUUUACUGAAAUCAGCUUUUGCUGAGAAAUUGGACCUCUCCAUUUUUGGACAAUAAUGCCUUUGCCUAUUUUCCCCUGUCUAUAACCAAGAACUUGUGCAAUAUACUCGGUAUAACUGCCCUUUUUCUAACCAAUGACAGCCAGACUGUGUAGACCAGUGAGGGUGAAUAAAUCGCAUAUGAAGUCCAUAUAUUUGUCAUUUAGCAGCAGAAUCGGCACAAACUAGGACAGGUGGCAACAGCUCCCUGAUGAGGUAGGUCAUCAUUUGACACCAUUAUGUCCACGCUCUUUGAUCUUCUCUCCACUGUUCUCCUGAGUGACAACACAAUGCCCCGUUCAGUCCUCUCUGUUUCGUUAAGUUGUGCAGUUGAGAGUGGCUAUACAAGGCUGAGGAAUUUUCUUUGGAUGAGCAUGCACUUUUUCUGAGAAAAUGAUGUUUAGCGCUGACAUCCGAGAGCCUGUGACCAUACCAACAAUGGAAUGUGUGUGACAAAAGCCACUGGGAGAGUGCAAUGGAGAACUGGGCCGGCAUGUGUAAAACUAUCUCCAUCUAUCCCCGGAGGAGCCUACUUCUUUUUUAAUGUGGCUCUUUUAUCCCGUUGGAGAAGCCCUAACGAGGUGCCAUGAAAGGACACACGCGGCUUCGGCUUUGAAAGGUGCCCCGUGUCACGUUGCCGCCCCGGGGCCACGCUUUUUUAGGUGCUGAGUUUGUGGGAAAAGCAGCAGCGCUAAUGUUUAUCAUAUGACCUAAUCAGAGUUAACACACAGGUCAGAGCCGAGGAGCAGCCUGGGAACUGAUGGAGCUGCUACUCUAAUAAGGAGCAGACCGCCCCGUGUUUGGUCUCGUAGGCUGCCCCGCAUUACAGAAAAUGAGGAAAUAUUUCAUCAUUGGCAGUCUAAUCUACAGGAUCUAUUGCAACUGGAGAGCAUCAAUAAAGCAGCCAAGAGGGAAGAUAAACAGAGGGCGAGAGUGAAGGGAGGAGGGGAAGGACAACAAAUGACGGAAAUGAUUUUAAAUAAGCGGUUUAGCUCGGACAAUUCCAAAACCUCAGAAUGAGUAUUAAAGAGAGGAACAUGAAAGAAUUACUGUCAUGUCCAAACUUUAGUAUGAGUUGUCUGAUAGGGGAGUUUGAGUACUGAGACAAAUUGGCCAACUCUUUGUCAUUUGCCCCUCUUUGCCCCUGAGUUUAAGAAAUGGAUUGCAUGGCUCCGGUUCUUUGUGGUUGACCAAUAUGAUCAGAUCCUCUUCCGUUGCUCUAAACCAACGUUGAUUGUGGUAAAGAUCUCCGUUGUCAAAGCAGCCAGGGUGCCGGGAAGGACGGCACUGGAUUUAGAUUUGCCAACACGUGGAUAUAAAUGAGAUGCUAUUCCUUUUGAACAAAAGUGCUUUUACAGCUUAUGUUGUAGCUUCCUAUGAUCGAGGAAAAUUACUUUAUAUAUGAAUCUUUUUUUACUCGUAGAGACAACAUUUUUUCCUGGGCUGACCUUUGUGAUCUGCGUGAGCCCUGUUUAAUUGCCUACCAGCAGCAAAUUGGUUGUGUCUUGUGUGUAUAUGUGCCCUGUGCCUGGCCAAGGUAGGUUAGGAUUUGAUCAAAUCUUGUGGAUAAACAAGAAGAAUAUGAAGAGAAAAUUCCAUGGCCUCUUGGCGUGUGUCCAACAUUGAGGCACACUAAAAGGGAAAAAGAUGCGUGUUAGAGUGUGCCUCUCAAGGGGAUUCGGCUGUGUUUCCGUGGAUAUAUCCUGUCUGGCCCACUUGUCUGAGGAGACCGAAGCCUUAGCUUUGACCCCUGACCCUGGCAAGGCGGCAUCUAUUGCUGCGAGGCAUUCACAUGCCGUUCAGGGGGAAGGGGGGAGUAUGCCAAGAGGCUGGAUAAGGGGACAUUGGAAUUCAGUGGUCAGACUCACAAGUUAUUUCUGAUCCCUCCAAGCUACUUGUGGUGGUGUGAUCUCUUCCCAAGCUAAUCAUUGCAUCUUGGUGGUCUUUUGGCUUUGAUGUCGCCUCAUUACUAUCUUUCGAGGACCCCCAUGUAGUAGCAUCUGUAAUAUUUUCCCAGGAAGUAAUGUUACAAAUUCUUCUCAUGGAAAUUAUAGUGUAAUAUUUAAGAGGCACAAAAUCACGCUAUGUCUCCAAGUGUUGAAGAUUUGAUGACUACUUUGGGUAGCGCUUAAGAAAACAAAAUCAAGAGGUUGCAAUCUCUCUUUUUCUUCCAUUUAGAGUAACUUAAAGGACCAGUUCAACAAUUUGAAAAAUACACAGUUGUGUAGAGUUUGACGAAGGGUGAAAACACAAGGCAUCAGCAAGCCCGUUCAAAAGCUAAACAUGUGCCUACCUUCACCUUUAACGUAAACAUGUUACAUACUUUUUGGGCAAUCCAUACCAAUUGAAAAUGAGAAGUUGAUGUUUUACAGAGGGCUUCAUGUCAAGCACUCAGUAAUGACAAGCCACAGCGCUCAGCCUAGAAAGAGCCCAACACACACGGUGAUUCAUCGUAAAAUCACAACAUCAACCUUUUACACGUUUUGUACUAAAUGAACAAAAGAGUAAGUCCAUGACUACGUUUUCAAAUGAGGCACAAAUUACACAUCAUCCGUCUGAAUCAACGUCUUUGCAAUUGUGACAGCCGAUUUAUUUACUGUUCCGCCCUUAAAAAAUCUCCUGUAGUCAAUAAGACAUUAGUUAUGCUUCACAUUUUCCCCUCGCUGUGUGCUCGCUGCACACUAAAGAACUACUGUUUCAUGUUAACUUAAUCCUCCCCUGACAGCAGAGAAAUGAAGAGGUGCACAGUAUUUCCCAAAAUGCUGAAGUAUUUAUACGGGAUACAAUGGAAAUACUACUUCUAGUGCCACACUUUUAACCAUUGGUAUUUAAAGAGUCUGCGUCUUUGAAUUUGUGAAUGUGUCUUUGCCGUUUCUACAUUCAGGAGAAAGUUCAGAGAAAAAGUUUGGCCAUUGGUAGCCUGAGCCAGCUGGUGUCCCCGCAGUCUCCUGCCAUGCUGCUGGUUGUGCAGGAGAACCGAAACCCCGAUGGCCAGUACGGCUUCUCGUGUUGCUACAGGGAAGGCAGCGGACUACUGGUGGUCAAGGUGGAAAACUGCCAACUCUGUGUUGACGACAGGCUGGUGGAGGUGAAUGGUGUGCCGGUGGUUAACUCUACACAGGAAGAGCUGACCACCAUCUUACUGGAGGGACCCAGCGCCAAUAUUGUUGUCCUUCGCCAGCCCCCGCUCCCCCCCACCUCCGUAGUCCUGCAGCGCAUCAUCACCUCUGAUCCCGAGCAACAGCUCUCUCUUGCCGACUUAGACCGGGGUGUGGUUCCAGUUGAAACAACUCCUCGACGGAAGGUGGUGGCCAUCUGAUGAUACGACAGAGAGAGAAAAAGACCAGCGCAGAGACUUGAGGGUUAAUGAUAUCUGACUGUGGAGCCAUGCAGCGAAAUGCCCUCUUUUGUUAGUUAUUUAACUCUAAAUAUAAAUAUAUGUUAUUGAAAAUGUCAAUGUGUUGAAAUGAUAGACGUUUAGUUAGGAACAUCCAAUAGUAAUAUAGCUGUGUUGUUAUGUGACGUUUUCCUCGACUAAGCCUCAACACAUGUACACAGCGUUGUGCUUGGCAGAUAGAACAGUUAUAUUUGAUCCAUAUUGUUGCAAUGUAUACGGAGAACCAUGCCUGUGAAAAAAACUUAUUUCCAGAAAAACACAUGAAACCGAACCACAUUGACUUCUUUCUAUUUGCAUCUCCUCUUGUGCUACAUCAUAUUUUGUGCCAUGAGGGAAAAUGAAUAGUACAGGAAAGACAAGGAGGCAGAGCCUGAUAAGGACAAUGCAUGCUUCAUCUUGUACAACUAUAAUUGAAAAUAUGUGAAUCCUGUCUAUAGUUACUGUAACAUAUCGUGUAAAGAUACAUCCAAUAGCUUUGUAUCCUGUUUCUCUUAUUAGAAUAGAGACUUGUACGGCUACAACAGUAUUCGGAGCAAAAACAUGAGUCACGUCCCUUUUUUUGGAUGUUGUAAUGUAAUCCACUGUGCUGCAGGAAUAAACCCUUGGGCCCGGAAAUG
Molecule: long non-coding RNA, 6781 nt
Organism: Gasterosteus aculeatus aculeatus (three-spined stickleback)
Lineage: Eukaryota; Metazoa; Chordata; Actinopteri; Perciformes; Gasterosteidae
Source: Ensembl